RNAcentral lists this ribosomal RNA (158 nucleotides) under Beauveria bassiana. RNAcentral's name for it is "5.8S ribosomal RNA". It matches the Rfam family "5.8S ribosomal RNA". Rfam says of the family: 5.8S ribosomal RNA (5.8S rRNA) is a component of the large subunit of the eukaryotic ribosome. The record is from RNAcentral. Lineage: Eukaryota; Fungi; Ascomycota; Sordariomycetes; Hypocreales; Cordycipitaceae.
AAAUGAAUCAAAACUUUCAACAACGGAUCUCUUGGCUCUGGCAUCGAUGAAGAACGCAGCGAAAUGCGAUAAGUAAUGUGAAUUGCAGAAUCCAGUGAAUCAUCGAAUCUUUGAACGCACAUUGCGCCCGCCAGCAUUCUGGCGGGCAUGCCUGUUCG